RNAcentral lists this transfer RNA (72 nucleotides) under bacterium. It matches the Rfam family "tRNA". Rfam says of the family: Transfer RNA (tRNA) molecules are approximately 80 nucleotides in length. Their secondary structure includes four short double-helical elements and three loops (D, anti-codon, and T loops). The record is from Rfam by way of RNAcentral. RNAcentral also lists the same sequence under 1 other name.
GGGCGAUUAGCUCAGUGGGAGAGCACCACCUUGACACGGUGGGGGUCAGUAGUUCGAUCCUACUAUCGCCCA